CUUGGGAUAGGGGAGACUUCUUAGUUUAGGAGGCUACACCAUUCUUUGGACUUUCUUUUCAUGAAGGACAGAUUUUUUUUUCUUUUUUGAGGCAGAGGGAAGAUUCUUUAGUUUAGAAUACACUGUCCUUUACUGCAGAUCCUAAAAGCACAAAAAGGAAGACAGGUACCAUAUUCAUCUGGCUGCUUCCUGAUGAGUUGGGGCAGAGUUGGAUUUUCAGAGCUGGAGUUCAGCGUUGUGUAGUCCAGAAAGUGCAAAUGGAUCAGCAACUCAGACUGACCAUGAUCCAUGGGACUCCAAAGACACUAUGCUGAGCAGUUUCCGGCUGAAGCAAUAGCUUUUAGCAAGAUCUGGAUGGUCCUUCAGAUCAAAGAGAAGCUAGACACAGAAUUUUAGGGGACUUCUUUUACUUACAGAACAGCUCUAAGAUUUGCUGAAAGCAAGAUCAACAUUAUUUCUAUUAGGAAACUAACUCUGAAGACCUGACUGGCCUUGAACUCAGAGAUCUACCUGCCCCUCCUCCGGAGUGCUGGGAUUAAA
Molecule: long non-coding RNA, 540 nt
Organism: Peromyscus eremicus (cactus mouse)
Lineage: Eukaryota; Metazoa; Chordata; Mammalia; Rodentia; Cricetidae
Exons: 4
Source: RefSeq, a predicted model, not a curated record